CGGAAGACUGUCAGUUUUAACUGAACGUGUAAAACAGGCUUUACUCUGGAGGUCGACGAUGCAUCAAGGAAUGGCGCAGACAGUGAGCACGUCUCUCGUACCACGACGACAAAACAACUGAACGUCCACUGAAUUGCGAGGAUCUGAUAGACCUCGACGAACAAGGUUCGACAACUCAUUUCUCCUGUCGGUAUUAUGUAGGAAAAAAAUAAUAAAACAACCAAAAAUAGAAAAA
Aplysia californica (California sea hare) is the source of this 235-nucleotide long non-coding RNA. RefSeq lists it as uncharacterized. Lineage: Eukaryota; Metazoa; Mollusca; Gastropoda; Aplysiida; Aplysiidae. The transcript is spliced from 2 exons. The record is from RefSeq and is a predicted model, not a curated record.